UGGAUUUGUGGAAUUGGUGUUGUUCCGUUUCCACCUGGCCAAUCAUCUUUGGUCACUGAUUCUGAGGUACGUGGUUGUUUUAUGUUAAUCCCAUUUAGUUUUGCACUUCAUGGCCUGGGUGGCCGCUGGACACCCGGCACACGGUCUAGAUCAGCCCUAACAUUCAGGCCAUUAGCUUAAAAAAUGUUGGUAGCUGAACACGUAAAUCAUCUACAGCUGUUGUAAAAGGAGACUACUGUUUGUUGACAAUCACACAUCAGUGCUGCUGUACUGUAUGAUUUUUCUUUUAUGAUUGUUUCCGUUUGAGCCUUGUAGCUGUACUUUCUAUGGUUCCUAACAUGGUUGUAGGUUAGAUGUUUCUGUUGGUUUGUCUUGCUGUAGAAUCUGCCAAUAUUCAUUUGUUACACAUUUUAUUAUGUAGAUGUACUUUCUGUGGUUCCUAACAUGGCUGCUUUACAGAAUAUUGAUGGGGGUAACACAAACAUGGGAGGCCUAUUAACUUCUGCUGCAGACCUAAAUUUCUUGCAGAUUUAAUUCAUUUGUAUUCAUGUAAUUGGUCGAGGUGAGAAUGAUAUGCCGUUGUUCAUGCCAAAGGCUGUGACACAUUUCUUUCUUUUUGCGAUAGUGCAAAUUGAUUGAUGAUGCAGCGCAACUAGCACAAGUUCAUCAUAUGGCUGUCUGCAUCACUAUGAUAUAGAGGCCCGGGGUUUAAUCUCCUUUUCAAAAAAGCACAAGUUCAUCGUGUCCUCUCCACAUCUAUGGAUAUCAGGUUCAAUAUCCAUGAUUUCUUAUCGAGUUAUUACUCGACCUUUUUUAAUCAUGGUACAAUAGUCGAUUUUUUAAAUAAAAAAACGACCUCCAUGGAUGUCACCCGCCAUUGGCAUUUAGCGAGCCAAUAUAUCACUACUUUGAUGGAUACAAUAGAAGUAAUUAUGUACACAUAUACGUGAUUCUAAAUUGUACUUAACAUGGGGUAUUUAAUUCUUUUAGCAGAUUAAACGAUCAUGUUGCUCUCUAAGUAAGUUGAGGAAAAGGAGCACAAUCCAGAGUCCGCCACCUAUGUUUCUAUUAUGGCAUCACCUACGAGCUGGUCCUAUGCGUUCAGUCUGCACAUGCGCUGAACGAGCCAUCCACUAUUUGGUGCCGCUGCUGGCUAAUCAUGGUUAUGGGUUGCUGAUGUAUUGGAGUUCGACCACUCUGAGAAAGGCGAUGCUCUGCAUGGUAAGUUUCUUAUGGCUGUGGCUGUUUUUCCUGAUGUGUUCACAUGAGGGGUAUAUUUUAGGUAUGUAGUUAUUUUGGUCCAGAUGUUGACAAAGGAUGAAGCAUGUGAUUUUCAAGAGGCAAGUUCCCUUGGAUAAUUAUGUGCAUUCUGAUGAGUACGUACCUGAGAAAAAUUCAAGAGGCUUUAGUGAGUUGAUUGUGCCCACAAGAGGUUGUCUUGCUUAGACUUGGUGUAACACAUGUCUAUGUAUCAGUAAAUUGAGAUGUUGUUACCGGGAUAUCAAUUCCGCUACCAUCUUCAUAUGCAGUACUCCCUCCGUCUAGGUGAGUAAGUCACCUUACGAAAAUUAGAUUUUCACCAAAGUGUAACGUUGGUCAGUACAGCCAAAGAUAAUAUCACCGACAUAUAUUUGGC
RNAcentral lists this long non-coding RNA (1636 nucleotides) under Triticum aestivum (bread wheat). RNAcentral's name for it is "long non-coding RNA (TAES_LNC018023)". Lineage: Eukaryota; Viridiplantae; Streptophyta; Magnoliopsida; Poales; Poaceae. The record is from RNAcentral.